Molecule: ribosomal RNA, 801 nt
Filed under: uncultured bacterium
Lineage: Bacteria
Description: bacterial SSU rRNA
Rfam family: Bacterial small subunit ribosomal RNA
Source: RNAcentral
GGGGUGAUCUCUUCGGAGAGAUCCUAGCGGCGGACGGGUGAGUAACACGUGAGUAACCUGCCCUAUGGAGGGGGAUAACACAAAGAAAUUUGUGCUAAUACCGCAUAAAACUGAUGCUGCGCAUGCAGCGACAGUCAAAGAUUUAUCGCCAUGGGAUGGACUCGCGGCGCAUUAGCUAGUUGGUGAGGUAACGGCUCACCAAGGCGACGAUGCGUAGCCGACCUGAGAGGGUGAUCGGCCACAUUGGAACUGAGACACGGUCCAGACUCCUACGGGAGGCAGCAGUGGGGAAUAUUGCACAAUGGGCGAAAGCCUGAUGCAGCAACGCCGCGUGAGCGAUGAAGGCCUUCGGGUUGUAAAGCUCUGUCUUUGCUGACGAAAAAAAUGACGGUGAGCAAGGAGGAAGCCACGGCUAACUACGUGCCAGCAGCCGCGGUAAUACGUAGGUGGCAAGCGUUGUCCGGAAUUAUUGGGCGUAAAGAAUGCGUAGGCGGCUUUUUAAGUGGGAUGUGAAAUCCCUGGGCUCAACCCAGGAACUGCAUUCCAAACUGGAAGGCUAGAGUGUGGGAGAGGAAAAUGGUAUUCCCAGUGUAGCGGUGAAAUGCGUAGAGAUUGGGAGGAACACCAGUAGCGAAGGCGAUUUUCUGGAACAUAACUGACGCUGAGGCAUGAAAGCGUGGGGAGCAAACAGGAUUAGAUACCCUGGUAGUCCACGCCGUAAACGAUGAGUACUAGGUGUAGGGGGGUACCACCCCCUGUGCCGCAGUUAACACAUUAAGUACUCCGCCUGGGAAGUACGAU